GAAGCUGGAAUUGCUAGUAAUGGCAGGUCGGCAUACUGCCGUGAAUACGUUCCCGGGCCUUGUACACACCGCCCGUCACACCAUGAGAGUUGGGAAUACCCGAAGCCUGUGAGCUAACGUUAAGAGGCAGCAGUCGAAGGUAGAAUCAAUGAUUGGGGUGAAGUCGUAACAAGGUAUC
RNAcentral lists this ribosomal RNA (178 nucleotides) under uncultured bacterium. Its description in RNAcentral is "partial 16S ribosomal RNA". It matches the Rfam family "Bacterial small subunit ribosomal RNA", at positions 1322 to 1500 of the family's 1533-position model. The record is from RNAcentral.